This is a long non-coding RNA of Polistes canadensis, 1070 nucleotides long. RefSeq lists it as uncharacterized. The record is from RefSeq and is a predicted model, not a curated record. Lineage: Eukaryota; Metazoa; Arthropoda; Insecta; Hymenoptera; Vespidae. The transcript is spliced from 3 exons.
UAUCAGGUAGGAUACGUUCGUGGGGAGAAAAUCGGAACGUCGAGGCAUUCUUUGUAAGGUAGAAUUUCAAUAAUAUUCAGCGGCUUUAGUUAACGUAAAUGUAGCAUAGGAUUAGAAGUGCCGCGUUGUUGGCUACUUUGUCGUGGAUUAUUUCAUAUAAUUGGUUUAACAUUUUACACAAUUUUUUGAUCGUAAAGUGAAGUGAUAUAUUAUAGAACGCAAAGAAGGAAGAUAUAACGGCAAUUUAUAAGUUUAUGUAGUUAAAUACUUUGAAAUAAUGUCAUGAGAUUAGCUUGAAUGGGCUAUGGACGUGGGAGAAGUUGCGCAUUUGACCAGCAGGUGGCGUUAGCCUGUUAACAGUAGGACAGCGUUCAGACACCCUGCAACGGGACUGUGUUUUUCACGACAUUGUUUUUCCUGUUUUCUCACGUUAAUCACGGAUCUUCGGCGCGAUUUUUGGCCUCAGAGAUAUCGCUCGAAAUAUUUUGGACCCGAGUUCCUUUACGGAGAAGAGGCGCUUCGUGUAUCCGUGUAAAUGCAAAGUUUGUCACGUAAUUUUUCUGAACGCCAGGGCCGCAUCUAUCAACCCUACUUCCCAACCGGUCGCUUACCUAUCGCAGUCCAGACGAAUUAUGUAGUUUUUCUACUUGGUGUACAAUACAUUUAUUGUUCCUGCCUUAUAUUUAAGAGGAAAGGAGCCCAAUGUGGGUUGAAGUGAGAUGGCAUCCAGAGAAAAACGACCCUUAGCGCCUUCAAAAUCAAAACAGAAGGCGAAUAAUGACUCUGGCUUGCCAUCUAAUGAAGUCAAAAGUAGAAAAGGCAAGUCUUUGUCCAAUAUAAAACAACAGCUUGCACGUGAUAUUUUUGAUGCAGUAGCAACGGGCAGUCAACUUCCUGCAAAAUUAGAAGCAAGUUUGCCACGAAAGAAGGUUUUGAAGAACCUUAAGCGUAAACAGAAAUUAAGAGUAACAAAAACUAAUAAUUUCAUUAAGACAAAAGUUACCAAAAAAGUAGGAAGUAAAAAUUUAUGCAGAAUAAAUUCUGAUAUCAAGAAAGGUAUUAAAGCAAGG